Molecule: ribosomal RNA, 494 nt
Filed under: uncultured bacterium
Lineage: Bacteria
Description: partial 16S ribosomal RNA
Rfam family: Bacterial small subunit ribosomal RNA
Source: RNAcentral
GACGAACGCUGGCGGCGCGCUUAACACAUGCAAGUCGAACGGAAAGGCCUGCUUUCCCUUGUGGAUUGCGGGUACUCGAGUGGCGAACGGGUGAGUAACACGUGAGUGAUCUGCCCCCAACUUGGGUAUAAGCCUGGGAAACUGGGUCUAAUUCCCGAUAGGACUGCAGGGUGGUGCCUGUGGUGGAAAACGAUUUUCUAGUGGUUGGGGAUGAGCUCGCGGCCUAUCAGCUUGUUGGUGGGGUAAUGGCCUACCAAGGCGGCGACGGGUAGCCGGCCUGGGAGGGUGGACGGCCACAUGGGGACUGGGAUACUGCCCAGACUCCUACGGGAGGCAGCAGUGGGGAAUAUUGCACAAUGGGCGGAAGCCUGAUGCAGCGACGCCGCGUGGGGGAUGACGGCCUUCGGGUUGUAAACUCCUUUCGACCGCGAGGAAGCCACCUGGUUGGAAGGGUGGUGACGGUAGUGGUAGAAGAAGCACCGGCUAACUACGUG